RNAcentral lists this transfer RNA (74 nucleotides) under Bacteroidales bacterium. Its description in RNAcentral is "tRNA-Ile". It matches the Rfam family "tRNA". Rfam says of the family: Transfer RNA (tRNA) molecules are approximately 80 nucleotides in length. Their secondary structure includes four short double-helical elements and three loops (D, anti-codon, and T loops). Lineage: Bacteria; Pseudomonadati; Bacteroidota; Bacteroidia; Bacteroidales. The record is from RNAcentral.
GGCUCCUUAGCUCAGUUGGUUAGAGCACCUGACUCAUAAUCAGGGAGUCCUUGGUUCGAGCCCAAGAGGAGCCA